GCCGCUNUGGUGAAAUUGGUAGACA
Molecule: transfer RNA, 25 nt
Filed under: Pyrostegia millingtonioides
Lineage: Eukaryota; Viridiplantae; Streptophyta; Magnoliopsida; Lamiales; Bignoniaceae
Description: partial tRNA-Leu
Source: RNAcentral